GGCACUAUGGCCGAGUGGUCUAAGGCGAUAGACUCGAAUGUUCUCGGGAUAUUGAGAUGAUCUAUUCUCUUCGGAGGCGUCGGUUCAAAUCCGACUGGUGUCG
This is a non-coding RNA of Diaporthe sp. PMI_573, 103 nucleotides long. The record is from the annotation of a GenBank genome assembly. Lineage: Eukaryota; Fungi; Ascomycota; Sordariomycetes; Diaporthales; Diaporthaceae.